CCCUUAGAUGUUCUGGGCAGCACGCGCGCUACAAUGGUCUUCGCAAACGGAUGCAUUCUCGAAGGAGAAUGCCAAUCUUGGAAUCUAUGCCUUGGUCGGGACAGUUGCUUGCAAUUUUUCGACUCGAACCAGGAAUUCCUUGUAAUCGUGAUUCAUCACAUCACGAUGAAUACGUCCCUGCCCUUUGUACACACCGCCCGUCGCUCCUAACGAUCGAAGAGUUAGGUGAAUUGUUUUGAUCGAUAAGAUUUGACUAUGGUCAACUCUCGUUGUGAAAUUCUGUGAAUCUGACUGUUUAGAGGAAGGAAAAGUCGUAACA
RNAcentral lists this ribosomal RNA (319 nucleotides) under uncultured eukaryote. RNAcentral's name for it is "partial 18S ribosomal RNA". It matches the Rfam family "Eukaryotic small subunit ribosomal RNA", at positions 1470 to 1796 of the family's 1831-position model. The record is from RNAcentral.